GAUUAGAGUUUGAUCCUGGCUCAGGAUGAACGCUAGCUACAGGCUUAACACAUGCAAGUCGAGGGGAAACGAUAUAGAAAGCUUGCUUUCUUUAGGCGUCGACCGGCGAAUGGGUGAGUAACGCGUAUCCAACCUGCCCCUGAGUAAGGGAUAGCCCAUCGAAAGAUGGAUUAAUACCUUAUGGUCUCCUUUGCAGACAUCUAAUUAGGAGUAAAGAUUUAUCGCUGAGGGAUGGGGAUGCGUCUGAUUAGCUUGUUGGCGGGGUAACGGCCCACCAAGGCAACGAUCAGUAGGGGUUCUGAGAGGAAGGUCCCCCACAUUGGUACUGAGACACGGACCAAACUCCUACGGGAGGCAGCAGUGAGGAAUAUUGGUCAAUGGACGGAAGUCUGAACCAGCCAAGUAGCGUGCAGGAUGACUGCCCUAUGGGUUGUAAACUGCUUUUAUACGGGGAUAAAGUCAGGCUCGUGAGCCUGUUUGCAGGUACCGUAUGAAUAACGACCGGCUAAUUCCGUGCCAGCAGCCGCGGUAAUACGGAAGGUCCAGGCGUUAUCCGGGAUUUAUUGGGUUUAAAAGGGAGCGUAAGCCGGAGAUUAAGUGUGUUGUGAAUUGUAGAUGCUCAACAUCUGCACUG
This 634-nucleotide ribosomal RNA is filed under the name uncultured bacterium. RNAcentral's name for it is "bacterial SSU rRNA". It matches the Rfam family "Bacterial small subunit ribosomal RNA", at positions 1 to 623 of the family's 1533-position model. The record is from RNAcentral.